RNAcentral lists this ribosomal RNA (427 nucleotides) under uncultured bacterium. RNAcentral's name for it is "partial 16S ribosomal RNA". It matches the Rfam family "Bacterial small subunit ribosomal RNA", at positions 354 to 796 of the family's 1533-position model. The record is from RNAcentral.
GUGGGGAAUAUUGCACAAUGGGCGAAAGCCUGAUGCAGCAACGCCGCGUGAAGGAUGAAGGCCUUUGGGUCGUAAACUUCUGUCCUUGGGGAAGAAAAAAAUGACGGUACCCCUGGAGGAAGUCCCGGCUAACUACGUGCCAGCAGCCGCGGUAAUACGUAGGGGGCGAGCGUUAUCCGGAAUUAUUGGGCGUAAAGAGUACGUAGGUGGUUUUUUAAGCGCAGGGUUUAAGGCGAUGGCUCAACUGUCGUUCGCCCUGUGAACUGGAAGACUUGAGUACAGGAGAGGAAAGCGGAAUUCCUAGUGUAGCGGUGAAAUGCAUGGAUAUUAGGAGGAACACCAGUGGCGAAGGCGGCUUUCUGGACUGUAACUGACACUGAGGUACGAAAGCGUGGGGAGCAAACAGGAUUAGAAACCCGAGUAGUCC